This is a long non-coding RNA of Xiphophorus hellerii (green swordtail), 2056 nucleotides long. RefSeq lists it as uncharacterized. NCBI's taxonomy places the organism in Eukaryota, Metazoa, Chordata, Actinopteri, Cyprinodontiformes, Poeciliidae. The record is from RefSeq and is a predicted model, not a curated record. The transcript has 5 exons.
CAGACUGAAAUCUGAUUAUCUAAGAAUGAUUUUGUGCUAAAAUUGUAAUGAACAGGUUUUGUUUAGCCCACAGACAUAUCCUAACCUGUUUAAGAGACACCAACAUGUUUGUUGUAGUUUUUUUCAGCCUUUCUAGGAGUAAAUGAUUUCCGUCUCUCUUUCAGCCUCGAAGCCGGACAACGCCGGAGGAAUCGCUGCCUCUGUGAUCGUGGUGGUGCUGCUGAUCGGCACCCUGGUCGCUCUGCUCGUCUUCUACCUGCGAACCGAACCAGACGCCAACUCUUCAUCGCUCGCUAUCGGCAUUAGUAACGAAGGAUAUGUUCCAGAGGAUCCUGUGACUGUUCCUCCAAGACAAAACCAUCCAAUGGCUGCAGGAUUCAACAACGUCUCUAUUUCUGCCGAGGACAGGAAGAGGGAGGAGGAGGAGUGACACAGGGAGCUUUGCUGCCGCCUAAUGGUGGCUUUGGGAAAUGCAGGUGAUAUAACAGCAGGAGAAUCAAUGCUGUUCCUCUAUUACUGAUCAUUUCAUGCAUCCAGCUGUUAAAUACAGAAAAUGCCGACUACACUGUAAGAUGUAAUAGUAUAUCUUACUCUAAAAGAAAAGUGACCUUAACUCAUUCCAGCUUACUCUGUUGACUAUACUAACUUAAACUUAGCAAAGACAACUUUCUACUGAGGCAAGUAAUCAAACUCAUCAGCAGCAAGUAACCCGAACUUGGAGUUAUCAGUGAGCAAGACGCAUCUGCAUAACCAGCAGAAAACUCGGCAUCAUUCGGCAGCUCUCGUUGAACGCACAUGCGCAGCUGGCCACUGACGAGUGACGACGUGUCUGAAAGAAGCGCCAAACUGUCAACAAUAUGGCGGUUGCUGCAGCUAAGUUUUGUCGCGGUAAGUUCCACUGGUUUUUAGCAAACUUAUAUUCGUUAUCUCGGCCGUAUAAUUUAUCCUUAAGUCCAGGUUUUGAGGUUCACUUUAUGUGUAAUGAUUUAGCGAUGCCUGGGACUAACGUUAGUCGAAAAUAUCAUGUUUAUUUAGUGGCAACAAGAUGGAGCGGCAGAGAAAAAAGCUGUCCGGGGCGCAAAACGAAAAAAGGAAAAGGGAUAAAGAUGUUGGCGGGAUAAAAAAAACCUUUCAGUGUGGUUGAAAGUUAGUAGGCAAGCUAACCCACGUUAGCUAACCCACGUUAGCUUGCCUACUAACUUUCAACCACACUGAAAGGCUUUUUUCUUUCUUUGUUGUCAAGUUCACUACAAGUGGUAGUCUUAAUAUUUUUUUUAAAAAAAAAGGAGUGAGUCUUUUAUGGGCGCGUGCCCAACCCAGAUAGCAAAAUAUGAGCGAAUCAACGUUGAAAUAUGGUUAGGCAGAAAUAUUGAAUCAAUGUUGAAGCCUGACAUUAACAUUAUACAAAAAGUGGUCAGUGACUUAGACGUUGAAUCAACGUUAGGUUUUCAAUGCAUGGCCUUGAGAAGACAAGAGUUGGUUAACUUAGAGCGUCCAGUGACGGACAUAAUGGAAAGGUGGCCAGCUUUACAGAUGGUCAGGUAAUUUAAAACUCUUCCUAUCUUUUAUGCAUCAAGUUUUUUAGUUCUCAUAUAAUUCAUUGUUUGUUACGUCUCUUGCUAACUUACAGAAUUAGUUUCAGUGUCCUGCUAGUGAAAAGUAGUCCUGAGAGGUCCAACAUCUCUACAUGUUAAAUAUUAAUUUGUCAUACUUUUCUUUCAGAUUCUGGCAGAGUUCUGUCGCUUGUCGAGCAAAAACCUGGGUUCAGAAUUUUUCUAAGAACUAGACAAAUACUUCUUUGAGAUUUUCAAGAGCAAGGGGGGAAGUGUUGGCCAGAAACUUCAGACGUAUCUGCAACAAGUCAGACCCGAGGAGUGAUGUGUGUUUGAUAUGAUUUUUCAGAGUACAGAUAUUACUGCGAAGCGAACGGCAGUGCUCCGUGGCCUUCCUGUGAUCCUUGGAGAUGAGAACACAGACUUCUUCAAGACAUGCUUUGUAAGUCAUCUUUAUCAUCUUUAUUUUUAUAUUCCAGUCUUAUAAUUCUAGAUCUAGAAGU